Chelonoidis abingdonii (Abingdon island giant tortoise) is the source of this 115-nucleotide non-coding RNA. NCBI's taxonomy places the organism in Eukaryota, Metazoa, Chordata, Testudines, Testudinidae. The record is from RefSeq and is a predicted model, not a curated record.
CUGCAUCCGAUGGGAGCCACUUGGCCGUGCCUCCGUGUAAGAGCCAGAGGGAGGACAUGCUGCUGCUUCCAGGAGCUGCUUGAGGUAAGCGCCACCUGGAAUCUGCACCCCUCCC